RNAcentral lists this non-coding RNA (86 nucleotides) under Peptoclostridium litorale. RNAcentral describes it as "Clostridium litorale ZTP sequence". It matches the Rfam family "ZMP/ZTP riboswitch aptamer (pfl RNA motif)". Rfam says of the family: Previously known as pfl RNA. ZMP is also known as AICAR. Lineage: Bacteria; Bacillati; Bacillota; Clostridia; Peptostreptococcales; Peptoclostridiaceae. The record is from RNAcentral. RNAcentral also lists the same sequence under 1 other name.
AGAGUUUUAUGCGACUGGCGGAAAUAGUGGAAUCAACCACGUGGAGCAUGAAACUGAAUAUACAGCCGACCGCCUGGGCACUUAGU